This 332-nucleotide ribosomal RNA is filed under the name uncultured eukaryote. Its description in RNAcentral is "partial 18S ribosomal RNA". It matches the Rfam family "Eukaryotic small subunit ribosomal RNA", at positions 1470 to 1796 of the family's 1831-position model. The record is from RNAcentral.
CCCUUAGAUGUUCUGGGCUGCACACGUGCUACACUGGCAGGUUCAGCGAGCUUCAUGCCCUGAUCUGAAAGGAAUGGGAAAUCUUUUCAAAACCUGCCGUGCUUGGGAUAGAUGUUUGCAAUUAUUCAUCUUCAACGAGGAUUGCCUUGUAAGCGCACGUCAUCAGCGUGCAUUGAAUACGACCCUGUAUUCUGUACACACCGCCCGUCGCUCCUACCGAUUGAAGUUUUCGGUGAGUUGACAGGAGGAUUUUUUUGAAACUGGUUCGCCAGUGGAUUUUAGAUCCAAAUGCCAACGAAUCGAUGGCUUUAAAGGAAGGAGAAGUCGUAACA